GGGUAUCUAGGUUUAAUUUCUCUGCAAAUAACAUUCUUUCUGGCUUUCUAAAUUCAAAACUCAAAAGCAGAAAAAAAGAAAGAAUGGGGAAAACUAGAAUCUUAUCGGCAUUCUUCGCAUCCUUUGCAUUGAUGGCGCCUGCAUUUGCGGUUGAUUAUUAUGUCCGGAAGAAUCAGGAUCUCAAUUUUUCAAACCCUAAUUCUUCUUCUUCGCCUUCAAUUCUUCACUCUGGUAUUUUUUUUUUUCUUCUUUCUUAUUAUUAUAUUUUAGAUUAAAGGUGUUUUCAAUUUCUUAUACUUUCACUCAAUUCUCAUUGUUAUGAUCUCUUUCGGUGAAUCUUUUCCAAAGAGUUAUAGCAUAUUUAAGUUGAUUAUUAUACCUUUGAGCAGUGAAUGAUUUCAGAUUCAAUUGCUUUUGAUUGUUUUGAAGACUUCUCAGAAAAAAAUGUUUGUUUCUAUUUUCCAGGUGCAUUUUCUUGGGCAGACUUGAUAGAUAUCAUUGUGAGCUGAAUCAAUCUUCAAUUUCUUUUUCCUUCUUUUGUUUUCUGUUUUCAUCCAAGAUUUGCCUUUUUCUUUUAGGAAUAUACGUUUUCAUGUUAUCGAAUAAUAUUAUAUCAUGUUUUAGUUUUUAAUCUCAUUAUAUGGAAU
Molecule: long non-coding RNA, 647 nt
Filed under: Vigna radiata
Lineage: Eukaryota; Viridiplantae; Streptophyta; Magnoliopsida; Fabales; Fabaceae
Description: long non-coding RNA (VRAD_LNC009510)
Source: RNAcentral